Apis laboriosa (Himalayan honeybee) is the source of this 2201-nucleotide long non-coding RNA. RefSeq lists it as uncharacterized. NCBI's taxonomy places the organism in Eukaryota, Metazoa, Arthropoda, Insecta, Hymenoptera, Apidae. The record is from RefSeq and is a predicted model, not a curated record. The transcript is spliced from 3 exons.
ACGGGCGUAAUAGGAUGUGCUUGUCUGGACUAAUGGGCCGUGAACGCAUACACAAUCCCGUGGGAGGGUGGGCGAGUGCCCGAAGGGAUCGAGACGGGGAUGGUCGACAAAGGAGAUCGAAGGAAAACUUGGGUCUGGCGACGACGCACAGGUGGAAUUAAUCGGUCCUUCGAAUCGAUCCGGCAAAUUCUAUUUCUCCGCCGGCUGUCGAUGUUAUCGUUAACGCGGAAAUAUUGUGCAGUCAGCUUUCGUGCUCGAGCUGAAACGAUUCUGUUACACGCGACACCACGCCGUGAACGCGUCCCUGGAUAUCUUUUGAACGAUGUUCCAGCCCAGGAAAGGGCGACUUCGGUCGAUACGUGAUUCUCAACUGGAGGGACGAUUCAAUGGAUCGUGGCAGAAUUCAAGGAUUUUUUUUUCUAUGUCGAAUAUUGUUUUGGAAAGUGAUAUUUAUACUAUGGCAUCUCGUAGAUGGAGUAUUUAUAUUUUUGUAUAUUUCCAGAAAGAAAAAGCGAGAAAUUUGUGUUGUAUAAAUCCAUGGAUAUCUUUCCAGAUUCCAGAGGAACUUAAAAAUGCAGAAAUCUCGAAACUCGUAAAGAGAAAGUUACUUCAAUUUCUUUCAAAAAAAUCCAAUGAUUAUUUAAAUUUAUCCCUAGAAAAAAGAAGAAAUUAUAAAUAAAAAUUGCAUUACUUCGAUUAUACUUCGAGAAAACAUAUUUAGAGAUAAUUGCAAGGGAAAAAGGAUUAAAGGAUGGUAGAAACGAUCUCGUUUCCAGUAACGGAAGUAACAAAACACAGGAAGAACGAUGUCUCGGAUCGGCUGAUCGCGGGAAAUGCGAUUGCUUUCGUGGCAUUUCCGGGAUUCGAUGAAAGACAAUUUUUCUACCGGAUUGGGGAGGAGGUUGGAGUUGGGGGAGGUUGAAGGGUGGUCUAAUCUCGAACACAAACCGUAACAAGUCGCCGAGGGAGUUCGCGUCAAUUUUACCUUUUUCAUCCUCGAAAUGGCAAAAUAGAAAGAUAAUCCCACGGGUCUGGUCUUGUCUGGUGGAAGGAGAGGGAGAAUCGGCGCGGAGAACAUGAUUUUUCAACGGGGAAGGAAGAAGGAAAUAUCUCGAAAUCCUGUUACAUUUUAAUCCAACGAGUUUCGUUGGGCGGAUUAUUAGUUACGAUCUACGGAAUUUGACGAAAGAAAUCUAACACAUGCUCUUUUCGAAUCUAAGAAUUAAAGUUUCAGCAGCAGUUAGAUUUUUUUUUUAUCAUUUUGAACAACAAUUUUAAAAAUAAAUACAGAAUGAUAUAUCUCAAUGUUUGUUUCUUAGUUUCAUUAAAAAUUCGAUGAAUGUUUAAUGUUUCUUUUUUCUUUUCUUUUUUUCUUGAAUAUACUUUUUGGAGUUUAGUCGAUAGCCCGUUGGAAGGUCUAUCUACUUCAAUAUUUCAUUUCAGACCGUGGCCGUUUCACGGAAAGAAAGAAGCCGGGAGAUGCUGACUAAGACCUCUCCCUACGUACUCUAUCUAAUCUCCUUUAGUCGAGCCAUCAACCCUCUGUUCAUCAUCCUCUUCCUCCACCGUUCACGAACAAUGAAUCCGAGUAUUUAACCGACGAAGAAAGUGCUACAACGUUCGAUAACCGCGCGAAAUCUUCAUCGAUCGCCUCCACGAUCCAGUUAAUUGUUGUCCCUUUGUCCAAGAGAAUUUUGACUAUUCCGCAAAAUCUUGGCAAAAACUGGAUGUAGUCUUCUCUGAUCAUCGAGGAACAGCUCUGAGAUAAAUGGAAUCGAAAAUAUCAUGACAGAAAAAUUCAUUCGACGAAUAUUCGACGACCAGGUAGCUACGAUGGAAAGGAUAGGCAUUUUGUUCACGUGAAAAUGACAGAGGAAUCUUUUUCAAGAUGUUGACACAAGAAUGGUUGAAAUUUUGGAAAGGACAGAGUCAAUAUUGCGUUUUUCUUCGGCUGCGAAGGAAUUUAAGUCGUGUACACGAUCGGAAAGGCGAUUUCCAAAAGCGAGAAAAACGUUCGACAGUGGAUGAGAGUGUCGAUGAAUUCCAUUUUUGAUUGUGAAUCUCACGAUUAGAGCCAGAUGUUCACUCGGUUGGAAUAAGAUUGAAAUCGACGUUCGAGAAAAAUUCGUAUCGUUUCGGAGGAAUUUAAGUCAGAUUCAGAGAGAAAGAAAGAGAGAGACUUUUUCUUCUGGUUCGAUCGA